AGGAUGAACGCUGGCGGCGUGCCUAACACAUGCAAGUCGAGCGAUUCUCUUCGGAGAAGAGCGGCGGACGGGUGAGUAACGCGUGGGUAACCUGCCCUGUACACACGGAUAACAUACAGAAAGGUAUGCUAAUACGAGAUAACAUACUUUUAUCGCAUGAUAGAAGUAUCAAAGCUUUUGCGGUACAGGAUGGACCCGCGUCUGAUUAGCUAGUUGGUAAGGUAACGGCUUACCAAGGCGACGAUCAGUA
Molecule: ribosomal RNA, 250 nt
Filed under: uncultured bacterium
Lineage: Bacteria
Description: partial small subunit ribosomal RNA
Rfam family: Bacterial small subunit ribosomal RNA
Source: RNAcentral